RNAcentral lists this ribosomal RNA (253 nucleotides) under uncultured bacterium. RNAcentral describes it as "partial 16S ribosomal RNA". It matches the Rfam family "Bacterial small subunit ribosomal RNA", at positions 524 to 776 of the family's 1533-position model. The record is from RNAcentral.
UACGUAGGUGGCAAGCGUUGUCCGGAUUUAUUGGGUUUAAAGGGUGCGUAGGCGGCUUUGUAAGUCAGUGGUGAAAUAUGGCAGCUCAACUGUCAGGGUGCCAUUGAUACUGCAGAGCUUGAGUACAGAUGAGGUAGGCGGAAUUGACGGUGUAGCGGUGAAAUGCUUAGAUAUCGUCAAGAACACCGAUAGCGAAGGCAGCUUACUGGGCUGUAACUGACGCUGAGGCACGAAAGUGUGGGGAUCAAGCAGG